Molecule: long non-coding RNA, 1875 nt
Filed under: Capsicum annuum
Lineage: Eukaryota; Viridiplantae; Streptophyta; Magnoliopsida; Solanales; Solanaceae
Description: long non-coding RNA (CANN_LNC015684)
Source: RNAcentral
GGGGAUUUCUUAUGUUAUAACAAACUACCUAAAAUAAAUCAAUAUAUAAUGAAAAUCGUCACGAACAAAAAAGAGUUUUUGGUCUUAUUCGAAUCAGCCCUAGCUUGUUUAGUCAUGAUCCGAUCCAAGGGACGAACUCAAGUGACAAUGUCAUUUAGUAUUUCCAUCAAUAUCUGUUGGGAUCAUCAUUUUCGAAUGGCUACCCAUCCCACCCCACCUAGGCUGGAUGUCAAGUCUAACGGUGUUCUAUGACAAGGAUAAAACUAGUGUCUUUUAGCAAUACUUAUCGUCUCACCUAUCGUCCAAGAGGCAUUGGACUUUAAUAUUUUUGGAUUUGUGUUGUAGACAAAAGUAAAGCUAUGUUGCCUAGGACUCAAAGCGCGUAACAUGUUGGACAACAAGUACCACAUAAUAAUCCCAAGUUAGCCUCUUGGUUUAUUACUGUUUGUUAGUGUGAUAGCAUGCACAGACAAAUUACUAUUGUUGAUUAACCUAUAGGCAUCAUGUCUAAAUGUGUAACAAGUGGUAAAAAAAAAAAACAACUGUUAUUCGUGUAUGCAACAAUGUGUGUUAAAAGGGUGUGAAAGGUGUGGUGAAUGUGUCAAGAAAUUACUCUCAUGACAUGCUAAGAUGCCUAACAAUUUAUGUUUAACCUGCUAGAAGUAUGCAAAGAUGCCUAGAAAUCACAUAUUUAACAUGCUGAAAUUGUAUUUAAACAUGCUGAAAAUAAUAUUAAGGCGUAGUAAAUUCAUGUUAAUAUGCAGACUUGCCAAGAAUGCCUAAAACAUGCUGAACACUAGUGUGCUAGUAUUUAACAUGCUGGGCAUUAAUUGAUAUACUGACAAUUAAUUUGUUUUGCUAGAAAUUCAACAUGUUCGUAUUUUUUUACUGUGUAAGAAUACUGAAAUUUAAUGCAGACAUGCUAUAGGUCAAAAAUAGGUUGACAUGAUGAAUGUCAAAUUAACAUGGUAACAAUAUAUUAAAUGCUAAAAUUAAUUCAUGCUCCAGAUUUAUAAUGAUAGGUAAUGUUUAUCAUACUGAAAACGAAAUGUCAAGUUACAUGUAUUAUUAUGCUGGAAAUGAUUUUAGUAAAGUAAAACAAACUUGAUUGCUAAAAGUUAUAAUACUAAUGCAAUAAUUUGCAUCAACAUACUAAAAUGCAAAAAAUGGCUCAUUCAUUAUUUAAUAUGCUAAAAAAUAUAAAAAAUUUAACAUUCAAAUAUGCUAAAUACACUUUAAUAUGAAAAAGAUGUAUUUAAACACUGAAAUAUGUGAGAAUUUAUUUUUUAAAACUACGAAGUUAUAGUAAUGUAUGAAAUUCUUUAAUUGCUAAAGAAAUAUUUGAUUCUUUAAAAAGUUAAUAUGUGAUGGAAAUUACUUUAUCAUGCUCAAUUUAUGUUAACAUGCUAAACACACAAUGACACAUUAAGAUUAUUGACAUCUAAUGCUCAAUAUGACAAUGGACUGAAAUUAAUUAAUAAAUGAAUUAAAUAUUGCGUAUGUUAAUCAAUCCUAAAUUUGUGUGCCUAGGUGAUUCACAUAGCACGUAACGUAUAUAAAACCUAAAUCAGUGCCUAUCAAUACUAUUCACAGAGCAUGUAGUUCCCCACCCACCAAAGCAGUCCCCAAAAAUUAUUAUUACAAUAAUAAUAGAUGUCUUUAAAGAUAUUACAAACCAAAUACUAAAAGAAGAAGAAAUGACUAACUAAAUGGGACUACAGAGUCCGUUAAUCAUCCCGGCGACUCUUCAGUUUUCAAAACCUGUUAGACACAAUGAAAUGGUAUGGCAAGCAUAAGAAGGAUGAUAGCACAUAUCAACAUAUAGCAGACAAACAUAGCACAAUUAUUUCCUAUAGAGCUGAUUUCUAGUUUUUG